Molecule: ribosomal RNA, 928 nt
Filed under: uncultured archaeon
Lineage: Archaea
Description: bacterial SSU rRNA
Rfam family: Archaeal small subunit ribosomal RNA
Source: RNAcentral
UUCCGGUUGAUCCUGCCGGACCCUACUGCUAUCGGGGUGGGACUAAGGCAUGCGAGUCGUGCGUCUCUAGGCUAUGGUAGAGACGCGGCGUACGGCUCAGUAACACGUGGCUAACCUACCCUUUGGACGGGGACAACCCCGGGAAACUGGGCCUAAUCCCCGAUAGAUGAGAAGUCCUGGAAUGGUUCCUCAUCUAAAAGGUGUUUAGAGCAUGCUUCUAGGCGUCGCCAAAGGAUGGGGCCGCGGCCGAUCAGGUUGUUGGUGAGGUAACGGCUCACCAAGCCUAUAACCGGUACGGGCCGUGAGAGCGGGAGCCCGGAGAUGGGCACUGAGAUAAGGGCCCAGGCCCUACGGGGCGCAGCAGUUGCGAAAACUCCGCAAUGCGCGAAAGCGUGACGGGGCUACCCCGAGUGCCGUCCGCUGAGGACGGCUUUUCCACGGUGUAAGGAGCCGUGGGAAUAAGGAGAGGGCAAGACUGGUGUCAGCCGCCGCGGUAAUACCAGCUCCCCGAGUGGUAGGGACAAUUAUUGGGCUUAAAGCGUCCGUAGCCGGGUCUGACAAGUCUUUCGUUAAAUCCAGCGACCUAAUCGUUGGGCUGCGGGAGAUACUUUCAGGCUAGGGGACGGGAGAGGCCGACGGUAUUCUUGGGGUAGGGGUGAAAUCCUAUAAUCCCAGGAGGACCACCAGUGGCGAAGGCGAUCGGCUAGAACGCGCUCGACGGUGAUGGACGAAAGCUGGGGGAGCGAACCGGAUUAGAUACCCGGGUAGUCCCAGCUGUAAACGAUGCGGGCUAGGUGUUGGGGUGGUUACGAACCGCUUCAGUGCCGUAGGGAAACCGUUAAGCUCGCCGUCUGGGAAGUACGGUCGCAAGGCUGAAACUUAAAGGAAUUGGCGGGGGAGCACCACAAGGCGUGAAGCUUGCGGUUCA